UGUAUGCGAUGAUGCAGGAGAUUGCGGCCUUUGCCGGUAACUUCUGCGGAGUAUGUCCGGUCAUCGGGCGGCUG
Molecule: non-coding RNA, 74 nt
Organism: Firmicutes bacterium CAG:137_57_8
Lineage: Bacteria; Bacillati; Bacillota
Source: Rfam